GUGUUUGCUGCUCCAUCAGCAGCAAUAUUAUCCCCAUCACCCCCAGGACCACUUCUAGCAGGUUCUUCCGUAACAGUCAUGUGCUCAGCAGCAGGUUCUUCCUUGACAGUCAUGUGCUCAGCAGCAGGUUCUUCCUUAACAGUCUUGUGCUUGGCAGCCGAAGAAUUUUUUAGUAAUUUGUUGACCAUAAAUUCCAUGGUACUGCGCCGGAUAACAUUGCAGUCCCACAUCUCACUAGGUGCGGCAUAAAAAGAGAAAUCAAUAGGCUUAUUAUUUUUACGCAUCCACGAACAC
Molecule: long non-coding RNA, 294 nt
Filed under: Setaria italica (foxtail millet)
Lineage: Eukaryota; Viridiplantae; Streptophyta; Magnoliopsida; Poales; Poaceae
Description: long non-coding RNA (SITA_LNC007425)
Source: RNAcentral